GCCAGGUAUGGUGGUGCAUGCCUAUAGUCCCAGCUACUUGGGAGGCUGAGGUGGGAGGAUUGCUUGAGCCCAGGAGGUUGAGGGUGCAGUGAGCCGUGAUCGCAUCACUGCACUCUAGCCUGGGUGACAGAGUGAGAACUUGUCUCAA
RNAcentral lists this non-coding RNA (148 nucleotides) under Pan paniscus (pygmy chimpanzee). RNAcentral also lists the same sequence under 1 other name. The record is from Rfam by way of RNAcentral. Lineage: Eukaryota; Metazoa; Chordata; Mammalia; Primates; Hominidae.